This is an RNA transcript of Argiope bruennichi, 951 nucleotides long. RefSeq lists it as uncharacterized. NCBI's taxonomy places the organism in Eukaryota, Metazoa, Arthropoda, Arachnida, Araneae, Araneidae. The transcript has 2 exons. The record is from RefSeq and is a predicted model, not a curated record.
GCCUGUUGGCGAGCGCCAUCUGCUGGUUGUUAGACGGAGUUGACGCUGGUUAGACGGAGAGCAGAUCAGACGGAUCUGGACGAGAGAAAAGACGUAGCAGAUCAGACGGAUCUGGACGAGAGUGAAGACGUGGCAGAUCAGACGGAUCUGGACGAAAGUAAAGACGAGACGCGACGUAUUCGACGAAAUCUACUGAAUGUUCAAUUCUUUUAUGUUAAUGUAUAUAUAUCCUAAAUGUCCUAAUCGUCCUAAAUGUAAUUAAAUGUGCGUUCUGAGUCCUACAGAUAUUGGGGGUUCGGCCGAGAUAUUAAUGAAGAGCCAAACAGGAGUGAAAUUUGACGUAGAGCAAUUUGACGUGCUACAAUAAACCUUUUGGAUACCAACUCCUUGUGGACUGACGCAGUGUGGAUCGACGUUGAAGAAAUUAUUUUUCUACUUUAACUUUCGAGGACGAAAGAGACGUCAGGAUCGCCGAAUGUAGUGACGAGCGCCUGUUGGCGAGCGCCAUCUGCUGGUUGUUAGACGGAGUUGACGCUGGUUAGACGGAGAGCAGAUCAGACGGAUCUGGACGAGAGAAAAGACGUGUCAGAUCAGACGGAUCUGGACGAGAGAAAAGACGUGUCAGAUCAGACGGAUCUGGACGAGAGAAAAGACGUGUCAGAUCAGACGGAUCUGGACGAGAGAAAAGACGUGUCAGAUCAGACGGAUCUGGACGAGAGUAAAGACGUGUCAGAUCAGACGGAUCUGGACGAGAGAAAAGACGUAGCAGAUCAGACGGAUCUGGACGAGAGUGAAGACGUGGCAGAUCAGACGGAUCUGGACGAAAGUAAAGACGAGACGCGACGUAUUCGACGAAAUCUACUGAAUGUUCAAUUCUUUUAUGUUAAUGUAUAUAUAUCCUAAAUGUCCUAAUCGUCCUAAAUGUAAUUAAAUGUGCGUUCUAAAAUAGUA